Molecule: ribosomal RNA, 407 nt
Filed under: uncultured bacterium
Lineage: Bacteria
Description: bacterial SSU rRNA
Rfam family: Bacterial small subunit ribosomal RNA
Source: RNAcentral
GUGAGGAAUCUUCCACAAUGGGCGAAAGCCUGAUGGAGCAACGCCGCGUGCAGGAUGAAGGCCUUCGGGUCGUAAACUGCUUUUAUAAGUGAAGAAUAUGACGGUAACUUAUGAAUAAGCACCGGCUAACUACGUGCCAGCAGCCGCGGUCAUACGUAGGGUGCAAGCAUUAUCCGGAGUGACUGGGCGUAAAGAGUUGCGUAGGUGGUUUGUUAAGCGAGUAGUGAAAUCAGGCGGCUCAACCGUUCUGGCUAUUACUCGAACUGGCAAACUCGAGAGUGGUAGAGGUAACUGGAAUUUCUUGUGUAGGAGUGAAAUCCGUAGAUAUAAGAAGGAACACCAAUGGCGUAGGCAGGUUACUGGACCAUUUCUGACACUAAGGCACGAAAGCGUGGGGAGCGAACGGG